RNAcentral lists this unclassified non-coding RNA (256 nucleotides) under Hevea brasiliensis (rubber tree). The record is from RNAcentral. Lineage: Eukaryota; Viridiplantae; Streptophyta; Magnoliopsida; Malpighiales; Euphorbiaceae.
GUUUUUAGAUGCUUCUGAACUGCAAAAAUAUCUUUUCAGUUGAAUAUAUUGUGGUGGAAAUUAUAUGAAUUCUUAAAAGAGCACUAAUAUGCAACGGUGCCUUUUAGUCAAUGUUACAAGAUGUCUAUAAAUUUUAUCCUUUGUGUUAAAAUGGAAUUUUCAUUUUUUGAAUUGUGUGUUUUAACAUGUGUCGAGUUUACACCAAUUCUUUCAAAAUCUCUAUCAUCUAAUAGUGAAGUUUUACAUGAUACGUUCA